AGAGUUUGAUCAUGGCUCAGAAUCAACGCUGGCGGCGCGCCUAACACAUGCAAGUCGAACGAGAAAGCCCGCAAGGGUGAGUACAGUGGCGUACGGGUGAGUAACACGUGGAUAAUCUACCCUCUUGUGGGGAAUACCGCUGGGAAACCGGCGACAAUACCGCAUAAGCUCGAGAGAGGAAAGCAGAAAUGCGCAGGAGGAGGAGUCCGCGGCUGAUUAGCUAGUUGGUGAGGUAAUGGCUCACCAAGGCUGAGAUCAGUAGCCGGCCUGAGAGGGCACACGGCCACACUGGCACUGAAACACGGGCCAGACUCCUACGGGAGGCAGCAGUGGGGAAUCUUGCACAAUGGGGGAAACCCUGAUGCAGCGACGCCGCGUGAGCGAUGAAGCCCUUCGGGGUGUAAAGCUCUUUCGGCAGGGAAGAUUAUGACGGUACCUGCAGAAGCAGCUGCGGCUAACUACGUGCCAGCAGCCGCGGUAAUACGUAGGCAGCAAGCGUUGUUCGGAGUUACUGGGCGUAAAGGGUGUGUAGGCGGUUGGAUAAGUGUGGUGUGAAAUCUCCCGGCUUAACUGGGAGGGUGCGCUACAAACUGUCUGACUAGAGUGUGGGAUGGGAGAGUGGAAUUCCUGGUGUAGCGGUGAAAUGCGUAGAUAUCAGGAGGAACACCGGUGGUGUAGACGGCUCUCUGGACCAUAACUGACGCUGAGACACGAAAGCGUGGGUAGCAAACAGGAUUAGAUACCCUGGUAGUCCACGCCCUAAACGAUGCAUAUUUGGUGUGGGUCAUUCAUUUGAUCCGUGCCGGAGCUAACGCGUUAAAUAUGCCGCCUGGGGAGUACAGUCGCAAGGCUGAAACUCAAAGGAAUUGACGGGGGCCCGCACAAGCGGUGGAGCAUGUGGUUCAAUUCGACGCAACGCGAAGAACCUUACCUAGGCUCGAACGGCUUUGGACAAUCCUCAGAAACGAGGACUUCCCGCAAGGGACCGGAGUCGA
RNAcentral lists this ribosomal RNA (995 nucleotides) under uncultured bacterium. RNAcentral describes it as "bacterial SSU rRNA". It matches the Rfam family "Bacterial small subunit ribosomal RNA", at positions 8 to 1036 of the family's 1533-position model. The record is from RNAcentral.